UGACCUCGGAUCAGGUAGGAAUAC
RNAcentral lists this non-coding RNA (24 nucleotides) under Drosophila melanogaster (fruit fly). Lineage: Eukaryota; Metazoa; Arthropoda; Insecta; Diptera; Drosophilidae. RNAcentral also lists the same sequence under 1 other name. The record is from RNAcentral.